GUUCAUGGCUCAGGAUGAACGCUGGCGGCGUGCCUAACACAUGCAAGUCGAACGAAGAGGCGGCAUCAGAAUCCUUCGGGAGGAAGAAGCCGUUUACUGAGUGGCGGACGGGUGAGUAACGCGUGGGCAACCUGCCCAGUACAGGGGGACAACAGUUGGAAACGACUGCUAAUACCGCAUAAGCCUGUAAUGCCGCAUGGCAUAUCAGGAAAAACUCCGGUGGUACUGGAUGGGCCCGCGU
RNAcentral lists this ribosomal RNA (241 nucleotides) under uncultured bacterium. Its description in RNAcentral is "partial 16S ribosomal RNA". It matches the Rfam family "Bacterial small subunit ribosomal RNA", at positions 15 to 236 of the family's 1533-position model. The record is from RNAcentral.